Molecule: ribosomal RNA, 301 nt
Filed under: uncultured bacterium
Lineage: Bacteria
Description: partial 16S ribosomal RNA
Rfam family: Bacterial small subunit ribosomal RNA
Source: RNAcentral
CAGCAGCCGCGGGAAUACCGAGGGUGCAAGCGUUAAUCGGAAUUACUGGGCGUAAAGCGCGCGUAGGUGGUUUGUUAAGUUGGAUGUGAAAGCCCCGGGCUCAACCUGGGAACUGCAUCCAAAACUGGCAAGCUAGAGUACGGUAGAGGGUGGUGGAAUUUCCUGUGUAGCGGUGAAAUGCGUAGAUAUAGGAAGGAACACCAGUGGCGAAGGCGACCACCUGGACUGAUACUGACACUGAGGUGCGAAAGCGUGGGGAGCAAACAGGAUUAGAUACCCGAGUAGUCCCUGUCUCUUAUAC